GAAUUUUAUAUAAAUUUAUUUGGUAAAUAAUAAAAAGAAUUAAAAUAAAUUUAUAUUUUAUUGGGAGGAUAGUUAAAUUAAAAAAACUUUAUUUUUUAAAUAAAUCAUUAAUAUAUGAUGAGUAGUAAUUGAAUGAUUUAUAAAUUUAAAAAGAAUUAAUUACCUUAGGGAUAACAGCGUUAUAUCUUUAGAGAGAUCUUAUUAAUAAAGAUGAUUGC
This 218-nucleotide ribosomal RNA is filed under the name Pheidole pariana. RNAcentral's name for it is "partial large subunit ribosomal RNA". The record is from RNAcentral. Lineage: Eukaryota; Metazoa; Arthropoda; Insecta; Hymenoptera; Formicidae.